CGCCCCGCUACGCGAGUGCAGUGUCGCGUUGAACGUCUCACAGAGCGCGUCGCACGUACGAGAAGUGGCCGCCGCCCGUGUCAGCAGUCGCGUCGCAACCACGUAACCUCGUCGUAUUAGUUUAUAGUAGUUGAGUAGUAGAGAGGAGAAGAGAAGAGAGGAGAAGAGAUAAAACGCCGUAAGAACAUCAGCGCGUCGUCGUUAUAGAGUAAAAAACGUCGUCGCCGUCGUCGUCUACGUCGUCGUCGUCGUCGUCGUCGUCGUCGAUCGUCGUUCCUAGCUAUUGCCGUUUCUACUCUCUCUCCCCCUCAUCCCCGUCCCCCUCCCCCCCGCAAAGAAACGUGAAAAAGACAACAGAAAAGGAAGAAGAAGAAAGAAAGAAAGAAACAAACGAAAGCAACAACGACGAAAAACGAAAAAUAACGAAAACCAAGCAAACUCGUGACGUUGAAACUAAAUUCGGGGAAACUAAACGCAACGCAAACUCAAACCUCAACCUCGACUCAACGCAACGCAACGCAACCGACCGACUGACCCGACGCGCUUUCCAGGCCUAAUUCACACCGCCACCACCGCCACAACCACCACCCCCUACCCCCCUCCCCGACCUACCCGUCCACCCACCCAAACACCCACCCAACCACCCACCGAUCCACCCACUCAAUCAUCCGAAGACCGGGUCCAUCCCCCAAGUACUACGAGUCUCACGGUAAUAUCGUGCCCACCGAUAUGGAGCCCCAAACCCAGGAGAUAGUGGCCAGCGGAUCGCCCGCCGAGGUGCCGAACGAUCCAGGGAAAAUGUUCAUCGGUGGUCUAUCUUGGCAGACCAGUCCAGAGAGCCUCAGAGAGUACUUCACCAAGUAUGGGGAAAUCACGGAAGUGAUGGUCAUGAAAGAUCCCACCACCAGACGAUCAAGCAGCGGUGAGCUCGCCUCGUAUGUGGUGGAUAGCACUGGCCGCAUGUUUACACCAAGAGGUUUUGGCUUCAUCACGUUCGCGGAUCCAGCCAGCGUUGACAAAGUUUUGGCUCAAGGCACUCACGAACUCGACGGCAAAAAGAUCGACCCAAAGGUGGCGUUUCCAAGGAGAGCACAUCCGAAGAUGGUGACUAGGACAAAGAAGAUAUUCGUGGGCGGGCUAUCGGCGCCGACGACACUCGAAGACGUGAAAAACUACUUCGAACAGUUCGGCCCGAUCGAGGAUGCCAUGCUGAUGUUCGACAAGCAGACGAACAGGCACAGAGGAUUCGGCUUCGUCACGUUUCAGAGCGAGGACGUCGUCGACAAGGUCUGCGAAAUCCACUUCCACGAGAUCAACAACAAAAUGGUUGAGUGCAAGAAGGCGCAGCCGAAAGAAGUGAUGCUACCAGCGAACCUGGCCAAGACGCGGGCGGCAGGUCGAGGCGCUUACGAUUUUAUGUGGUCCCUGGGAGCAUUACCUGACGGUUUCCCGGCGGCAGCGUACGCGGCGUACGCGGCAGGGCGCAGCUACUCAGGAUACCCUAGUUUCGGUCUCCCCUACCCAACAGGAACGCUAGUGUACCGUGCGGUGAGUCCGCGCCUGAACGGCCUGAACCCUGCGCGAAUGAAUCGGGUGGCCGUCAGCCCAGCCGGCUGUUCCGGGCUGCCCGUGUACUACCCCGGAAGCGGAAGUGACGGUGUGGGCCGCGCGUAUUCGGAGGCGACGAUGCAACACGUUCAACAAAAUCUCCAGCGUAAGAAAUUGGAUCUGACCAACGGGCAGUUAACACCCAACAACAAUACGCCGCUACUUACGCAAGCGCUUUCUGGAUUUGUUCCAGUGAUGAACAACUACCAGGCGGCAGCGCAGGCCGGAUUUCCGCCGGCGUCGCCGCACGGAGCCGCGGGUCACGGGGGACCUCAAAACCGCUCCUUCCCGGCCGCAAAUUCGCCAGGACCGAUCGACAUGUACAGUUCGAGCGCGGCGGCCGCGGCCGCGGCCGCAGCGGCGGACAGCGCGGUGGCCAGCUACGUUCAGGCCGCGGCGAGCCCGCAACCGCCGACGACCGCGUUUCCCGCAAUCGCGGUCUCCCGCGCCCCGCUCAACUACAGCCCCAUGAUGUUUACCGCAGUUUUAGAAUCGCCACUUUGGUAGCGCUCACAGCAGCCGGCCACAUUGUUGUGCCCCGAAGUUUCGAGGGGUCCUCUGAUACCAGCGGCGUUCACUAACGGCUACCAUUGAGCCUUGUUAAGACCUAACAACAGGAUGGAAGAGAGGGCAGAAUUCGGCAGCACGGUCGACUAACGGCUAGAUUACAACAACGGGGACAAACGUAUAUUAUUAUAAAAAAUAUCAUCACAUACACAAGAGAGCAUUAAUAAAUAUUAUAUAAAGACAAGCGAACAAAGAAACGAGAAGAAAAAGAAAAAUGAGUAAUAAAAAUUAAAUACAUAUAUAAUAUAAAUAACACACCUAGACGAUUGCGCGAUACGUUGAAUUAUAUUACACACACACCCACACAUAUAUAUAUAUUUGAACACGCGAUCGAUUAAUGUAUUUAAUGAGAAUUUCGAGUCGUGAACCGUGGAUAACACAAAGCCUUUAGGAUAUAUGAGCGCGAAUUGUGGCGACGGGUGCGUAAAGAAAUUGGAACAAGCUAAAGAGAGAAAUAAAAAAAUUUAAAUAAGUAAAAAAAUAAAUAAAUAAAAACGCCGGAUUAACGCGUGUACGUGGAAAAAAGGUUGGAAGGAACGGAGAGGAGGAUACGGUAAAAUAAAUAAUUUAAACGAAAGGGAAAUGCUUGCCGGGAAUAAUAAAGGUAAUUAAAAAUGUUAACAACAAGAGAUCCGUUCGCCGAAUAGAAAAUAUAUAUACAUAUAUAUACAUAUAUAUAUAUACACACUGACUACGCUAAUUGUAAACGAAAAAUGCGGUUCUUGAAAACGAGAAAAAAUAUCGAGAAGAAAAUUACAAAAAAAUGAACGUAGCGUGUCUUAUAUCUGUAUAUGUAUAUAUGUAUACAUAUAUUAUAUAUAUACACGUGUACGUGUAUGAAGAAACUACAAAUACGGCAUGAGCAAAUAAUACGUUGACACACCUACACCGAAAGAGGAGCGACGGGGGCGGGGAGGGGGAUAGAACUUGGUUCAAAGUAGUAAAGGGAAGAAGAAACAAAAAAAAAAGAAAACGAUCGAUCAAAUGACACGCCAAUUAUGGACGUAACAAAGAGAAAAAAAAAAAAAAAAAAAAACGAACCAAUUUAAAGGAAACGGAAAAGAAAGAUGGAGGUAAAAAAGAACAACGCGAAAAAAAAAAAAUCACGAAAACCGAUCCAAAUUACGAUCGAAUAUAUAUAUAUCCAUGUCAUCCGGAUACACGAUACACACACACACACAUAUAUGUGUAUAUAUAUGUAUAUAUGUAUAUAUACAUGCAUAUAUAUAUAUAUGUAUACGAACACUCGUAAAAAAUGUACGCACACGUGUACGGAAACAUACGCGGGCAUGUGUGACUACGUUAUUUACAGCCGAAGCGAUUAUAUUGGUGCCAGCCCGUUCUCCGACAUUGAAUAAUAAAAUAAUGAAAUAAUAAUAAUAAU
This 3559-nucleotide unclassified non-coding RNA is filed under the name Neodiprion lecontei (redheaded pine sawfly). RNAcentral describes it as "rNA-binding protein Musashi homolog Rbp6, transcript variant X5". Lineage: Eukaryota; Metazoa; Arthropoda; Insecta; Hymenoptera; Diprionidae. The record is from RNAcentral.